This 465-nucleotide ribosomal RNA is filed under the name uncultured Klebsiella sp. RNAcentral describes it as "bacterial SSU rRNA". It matches the Rfam family "Bacterial small subunit ribosomal RNA", at positions 338 to 795 of the family's 1533-position model. Lineage: Bacteria; Pseudomonadati; Pseudomonadota; Gammaproteobacteria; Enterobacterales; Enterobacteriaceae. The record is from RNAcentral.
CCUACGGGUGGCAGCAGUGGGGAAUAUUGCACAAUGGGCGCAAGCCUGAUGCAGCCAUGCCGCGUGUGUGAAGAAGGCCUUCGGGUUGUAAAGCACUUUCAGCGGGGAGGAAGGCGUUAAGGUUAAUAACCUUGGCGAUUGACGUUACCCGCAGAAGAAGCACCGGCUAACUCCGUGCCAGCAGCCGCGGUAAUACGGAGGGUGCAAGCGUUAAUCGGAAUUACUGGGCGUAAAGCGCACGCAGGCGGUCUGUCAAGUCGGAUGUGAAAUCCCCGGGCUCAACCUGGGAACUGCAUUCGAAACUGGCAGGCCAGAGUCUUGUAGAGGGGGGUAGAAUUCCAGGUGUAGCGGUGAAAUGCGUAGAGAUCUGGAGGAAUACCGGUGGCGAAGGCGGCCCCCUGGACAAAGACUGACGCCCAGGUGCGAAAGCGUGGGGAGCAAACAGGAUUAGAUACCCCUGUAGUC